Molecule: long non-coding RNA, 528 nt
Filed under: Astyanax mexicanus (Mexican tetra)
Lineage: Eukaryota; Metazoa; Chordata; Actinopteri; Characiformes; Acestrorhamphidae
Description: lncRNA (ENSAMXG00005010208.1)
Source: RNAcentral
ACAGUAAUAGUUGAUAAUCAUAGUAAAUAUAAUACGUUUUAAAUGUGACAGUAUUUUUCUGUUUUUUACAGACAUUUUCUGGCGCCCCCUGCUUUUUUUUUACAGUGUAUGUAUAAUGGAUGGCACAGGGGAACAGCUGGUAAGUUAUCGGUUUUAGACAAUUUUUGACAUUUUUAGACAAAAUAUUAAAAAUUUUAUAGGAAUAUUCAUUAAAUUAAAGGGUUUGCCAUUGGCCUUUUCAUCAGCCCAGGUCUUGUAGCACUUGGACUUUCGCAGAUCCUUCUGUUCAUAGGAGACAGGGGCGGAGCCAACGCCCUAGACAAGUGGGCGGGACUAACUUGGGGGCACUGGAAAAAGACAAAUUUCAGCAUCUGAAAGCAGCAAAGUCAGCAUACAGCUACAUGAAGGCAGCAGUCUGAACUGAAGAUUGAGGCGUGUUUGCGGCUCUUCAGUCUGGCCGAGUCACAGGAGGCUGAUGGUAUGCAUAGGAAGAGCAGCCAGGCGAGAGUUGCAGUAGUCAAGCCUCGA